GAGUUUGAUCCUGGCUCAGGACGAACGCUGGCGGCGCGCCUAACACAUGCAAGUCGAACGAGAGAGAGGGAGCUUGCCUCCUUGAUCGAGUGGCGAACGGGUGAGUAACGCGUGAGGAACCUGCCUCAAAGAGGGGGACAACAGUUGGAAACGACUGCUAAUACCGCAUAAGCCCACGACCCGGCAUCGGGAAGAGGGAAAAGGAGCAAUCCGCUUUGAGAUGGCCUCGCGUCCGAUUAGCUAGUUGAUGAGGUAACGGCCCACCAAGGCGACGAUCGGUAGCCGGACUGAGAGGUUGAACGGCCACAUUGGGACUGAGACACGGCCCAGACUCCUACGGGAGGCAGCAGUGGGGAAUAUUGCACAAUGGGGGAAACCCUGAUGCAGCGACGCCGCGUGGAGGAAGAAGGUCUUCGGAUUGUAAACUCCUGUUGUUGGGGAAGAUAAUGACGGUACCCAACAAGGAAGUGACGGCUAACUACGUGCCAGCCGCCGCGGUAAUUC
This 504-nucleotide ribosomal RNA is filed under the name uncultured bacterium. RNAcentral describes it as "bacterial SSU rRNA". It matches the Rfam family "Bacterial small subunit ribosomal RNA", at positions 9 to 526 of the family's 1533-position model. The record is from RNAcentral.